RNAcentral lists this ribosomal RNA (497 nucleotides) under uncultured bacterium. RNAcentral's name for it is "partial 16S ribosomal RNA". It matches the Rfam family "Bacterial small subunit ribosomal RNA", at positions 28 to 507 of the family's 1533-position model. The record is from RNAcentral.
GAUGAACGCUGGCGGCGUGCCUAAUACAUGCAAGUCGAGCGAACGGACGAGAAGCUUGCUUCUCUGAUGUUAGCGGCGGACGGGUGAGUAACACGUGGAUAACCUACCUAUAAGACUGGGAUAACUUCGGGAAACCGGAGCUAAUACCGGAUAAUAUUUUGAACCGCAUGGUUCAAAAGUAAAAGACGGUCUUGCUGUCACUUAUAGAUGGAUCCGCGCUGCAUUAGCUAGUUGGUAAGGUAACGGCUUACCAAGGCAACGAUGCAUAGCCGACCUGAGAGGGUGAUCGGCCACACUGGAACUGAGACACGGUCCAGACUCCUACGGGAGGCAGCAGUAGGGAAUCUUCCGCAAUGGGCGAAAGCCUGACGGAGCAACGCCGCGUGAGUGAUGAAGGUCUUCGGAUCGUAAAACUAUGUUAUUAGGGAAGAACAUAUGUGUAAGUAACUGUGCACAUCUUGACGGUACCUAAUCAGAAAGCCACGGCUAACUACGUG